Molecule: ribosomal RNA, 497 nt
Filed under: uncultured bacterium
Lineage: Bacteria
Description: partial 16S ribosomal RNA
Rfam family: Bacterial small subunit ribosomal RNA
Source: RNAcentral
GAUGAACGCUGGCGGCGUGCCUAAUACAUGCAAGUCGAGCGAACAGACGAGGAGCUUGCUCCUCUGACGUUAGCGGCGGACGGGUGAGUAACACGUGGAUAACCUACCUAUAAGACUGGGAUAACUUCGGGAAACCGGAGCUAAUACCGGAUAAUAUAUUGAACCGCAUGGUUCAAUAGUGAAAGACGGUUUUGCUGUCACUUAUAGAUGGAUCCGCGCCGCAUUAGCUAGUUGGUAAGGUAACGGCUUACCAAGGCAACGAUGCGUAGCCGACCUGAGAGGGUGAUCGGACACACUGGAAAUGAGACACGGUCAAGACUCCUACGGGAGGCAGCAGUAGGGAAUCUUCCGCAAUGGGCGAAAGCCUGACGGAGCAACGCCGCGUGAGUGAUGAAGGUCUUCGGAUCGUAAAACUCUGUUAUUAGGGAAGAACAAAUGUGUAAGUAACUAUGCACGUCUUGACGGUACCUAAUCAGAAAGCCACGGCUAACUACGUG